This 211-nucleotide ribosomal RNA is filed under the name uncultured bacterium. RNAcentral's name for it is "partial 16S ribosomal RNA". The record is from RNAcentral.
GACGAACGCUUGCGGCGUGCCUAAGAAAUGCAAGUCGAGCGGGGAUGCUUCGCAUUGAGUUGUCAGUUAUCAGUUGCCGGUAGUAAGUUAUCAGUUGUCAGUUAUCAGUAAAGUCGGGUUUCCCCGGCACUGAUUACUGACAACUGAAUACUGAUUACUAAACACUGAUUACUGACAGCUGAAUGCGGAGCAUUCUAGCGGCGAACGGUCG